UACGCAUACUAGAUUUGGGUAGAACUUUCCCAAAAAGCGAUUUACUUUGUUGAACAAUCCUUGUGAAGAUCGGAAGUAGGUUCGCGGUGAUAUCAUUGCCAUUCUUCCCUGACGGAGUUAAUUUUGUUAAGAUUCCCUUGAGAAAAGCAACAAAUCUGCCGGGAAUUUCUCAAAUGUUUAACUCGAAAAACUCUCCCACAGCAAAAGACGUGGAUAUUGGGCUGAUGCAGCUAAGAAUCCUUGAACCUAACGAAAAGGAAACGCAGAAGCCCUCGAAGAAGAAAAUGGCUCCUGGAACCUCAAGGCGCCGGAAGAAAUCUAGAUACAAGAGAUCGAAAAGCACGGACAACUCGAGGUAAGGUUUAAACAUGUAUAAACUUUUUGUAGUAUCUCUUGUUCUUUCCG
Pocillopora verrucosa is the source of this 405-nucleotide non-coding RNA. NCBI's taxonomy places the organism in Eukaryota, Metazoa, Cnidaria, Anthozoa, Scleractinia, Pocilloporidae. The record is from RefSeq and is a predicted model, not a curated record.